ACAAAUAAACAUAAUAUAAUAAUAAUAAUAAAAUCUUAUUAAUGACGACAAAUAAACAUAAUAUAAUAAUAAUAAAAUUGUAUUAAUAACAAAAAUAAAAUAAAAUAAUAUAAUAAUAGUAAAAAAAAGCUAUAAAAUAAUUCAUAUUAUAUUAAUCUUGUUCUAUACUGUAUAAAAUAAAUUAUAUAUACACAUAAAUCCCUAAACCCUAUUUCUUUCUUCUUUCUUUUCCUACAAAAAAAAAAUAUUCCCUCUCUCUUCUUUCAAUAUGAAGGUACCAACAUCUGUAAACUGGAUAAUGGACAUCAAGAACAGAAGAGAGCGCCGGAGGCAGCCUCUGUUGGCUGACCUGCGCGUCGAUGUUUCACUGGUGUCUUCGAAAAGUGGGUAAAGGAAAGAGGGAAUCAGCAGUGGCAGCGCGAAGCUUCGCCGGUGAGAUUCCGGCCAGAUCUGGGCGGUAGUGGCGCGGGGGAGAGAAAAGGGGAGCGAGGGUUGAUCGACGCGAGGAAGGGGAAGAAAAGACAAUGACAGGAUCUAGGGGUGCUGGCGUGGCGAUUCCGACAAGAAUCAGCCGGAAUAAACGCGAAAAUGGGUUCGUUUUAAUGGGAUGAUGAUUUUCCAGCGACGGGAAGGGAAGAGGGAAAGGGAGUGGUGCGGCGUUCCGGUGAAGGAAGCGGCGCCGGCGAAAUCCGUCUCACCCAUGUAACGAUUUCCGGCGUGUUUCUCCCCGGAGAGAUUCCAACAAAUUGCGGGUAAUGGGUGGUUGGUUUUCUUGACGGGACGAUGGUUUUGGCGAUACAUUUCGCUAGACAGAUCUAUUUUUCUCCCCUGUAUGACGUAUGAUGAUUAGUGUAUGUGCAUAUUUUGUUACUGUGUGUCAAGAUAUAUGAAUGAACUGUGAGGCUAAUGAAUUUUAUAUUUGCAUCACUAAUUAUAGGUACAGGCAUAUAUCAAUGUAUAUGAAUAUAUUGCUAUAUCUAAUUUUUUUUAUUCAAUAUAAUAAACAAAUAAUAUUGCAUAUCAAAUAAUAAGGUCAUUAACACAAACUUAAACAUGUUUUGCUUUAUUAUAAAAAUCAUACAAUAAAUAACAUAAAUUCGAACAAGAACCUGUUUAUGAAAUAAAGCAGAAAAAACUUGAAUAUCGUCACCGAAUUCAAAUUCAAAAACCUGAUUUCAAUUUCACACUUUGUCAGUUUUUUAUCUUUUGAAGUUUUUCUAUCUGGAUUUUUUCUCUAAUGUUUUUUCUGAUAUCUGAUUUUUGAAGGAUGUCAAAAGUACGUUGUUUUUUCGUCCCCUCUUUAACUCGUUGAGACUUUUUAGGGGAAACGGAUGUCAAAAGUACGUUGUUUUUUCGUCCCCUCUUUAACUCGUUGAGACUUUUUGGGGGAAACGGUUACGUUAAAGGGGGAAAUAGUUAGUCAUUAUCAGAUAAAGGUAGGGGGGAAAAAUAAUUUAAAAUUUAAAAAUUCCUCUUAUUAAUUUUUUAAUUAAUUAUUAUAUAUAUAGAAAAUAUCAGUAAUAAUAAAUAAAUAAACUAAUAAUAAUAAUUAAUUAAUUUUAUAUUUAAUAAAGUAUAAUAUUAAUUUAUAAAUAGACAAAAAUAAAUAUAAUAAAAUAAUAUUAAAAUUAUUAUUUAUUUAUUAAAAUUUAUAUAAGAAAACAUAUAUAUUUUAAUUUAUAUUAUUUAAAAUUAAAAUAAAAAUAAAAAUAAUAUAUGGUUAAAUAUUAAUAUAAAUAUAAAUAUUUAAUAUUGAUGGACAAAUUAAAAUUCAGGUAGGAUCAAAAAUUACGUGUCUACACUAUGAAAAAUAAAUCAAAUUCGUUAAAACUAUUUUUUAUUUUUAAACUUCAAUAAGGUAUUUUCUCAAUCAAACUAGCAUCAUUUUAAUCGUUAGUUAAAUGUCCUUCUACUAUAUACUAACAACAUACCCGUUGUUAGUCGCAGACCUAUAAUUUUUGCUAAAAAGUCAAACGAGUUCAACAUCUAAGUACUACAUAUCAUGUACAUAGAAAUAAUUCUAACAGUGUAUAACUAAUAUAAUUUUUCGUCAUUGAUGGAAGAAAAAUAAUCGGACCUCGAGGUUGCUGCCGGUAGCAUUUGGUUUGCUGACCAUGUGUAGUACUCCCUCCGUUUUGUUUUAGUUGGCCUCUUUCCAAAAAUAUUUGUUUCAAUUUAGUUGUCCCUUUGAUGAGAAUUUUAUUGUGUUCUUCCAAUACUAACCUUAACAUUAAAUGAUUAAACAAAAUGUAUUUACUCAAAUUUAUAUUUUCAAAGCAUAAUUAAUACGGAAAAGGUUCAAAAAUACCCCUGAACUAUCUGAAAUAGCUCAAAAAUACCCCUCGUUAGAUUUUUGGUUCAAAAAUGUCCCUCCGUUAAAUAUUUGGCUAAAAAAUAUCCCUCCUUCUAACGAAAUUCCACCAAGAACGCCACACAUUGCACGUGUAUAACCCCUUUUUAAAAUACUUCAGCCCAUAAGCUUAAUAGAUGGAUUAAAAAAAAGGAUAUUAUCGAUCAAAUUCUGAAUUGCGGUUUAAAAUUCCAGCAAAUUCAACCCCAAAGAAAUAGCAUAUCCUUCUUGCUAUCAUAACAGGUGUGAUUAGCGAAAAUGUUGCGUUAUCAAUUCUAUGUUUCUUGAUUUUUCAGCGAAGGAAAAAAGGAAAAAGACCUGUAUACAAGCGUUACAAAAUCAUCGUGGAUCCCUUUGUCAAUUACAUCGGAUUCAACCCAAAGGACCAGCGGCUCAGGCUCAUCAUCAUUAUCGUCCAAUUUGUGCUGACUAGGGUGUGCAUCGGUCGGUUAUAUGUUAUUGGUUCGGUUCAUCGAUUUUCAAUUUUUAAAUAUGUAAAUUCAAUAACUAACCAAUACGAUAUUUUCUUAUCAGUUUUUUAUCACUAACGGUUCGGUUUUCGGUUUAACCAAUAAGAAAAUAC
This 2933-nucleotide long non-coding RNA is filed under the name Capsicum annuum. RNAcentral's name for it is "long non-coding RNA (CANN_LNC012190)". The record is from RNAcentral. Lineage: Eukaryota; Viridiplantae; Streptophyta; Magnoliopsida; Solanales; Solanaceae.